RNAcentral lists this ribosomal RNA (490 nucleotides) under uncultured bacterium. RNAcentral describes it as "partial 16S ribosomal RNA". It matches the Rfam family "Bacterial small subunit ribosomal RNA", at positions 28 to 507 of the family's 1533-position model. The record is from RNAcentral.
GAUGAACGCUCGCUACAGGCUUAACACAUGCAAGUCGCGGGGCAGCAUGGGGGUUGCUUGCCAUCCCCGAUGGCGACCGGCGCACGGGUGAGUAACGCGUAUCCAACCUGCCCUUCACCACGGGAUAACCCGGCGAAAGUCGGACUAAUACCGUAUGUUGUCCAUUGACGGCAUCCGAUUUGGACGAAAGGCUUGGCGGUGAGGGAUGGGGAUGCGUCCGAUUAGCCAGACGGCGGGGUAACGGCCCACCGUGGCUACGAUCGGUAGGGGUUCUGAGAGGAAGGUCCCCCACACUGGAACUGAGACACGGUCCAGACUCCUACGGGAGGCAGCAGUGAGGAAGAUUGGUCAAUGGGCGUAAGCCUGAACCAGCCAAGUAGCGUGCAGGAUGACGGCCCUAUGGGUUGUAAACUGCUUUUAUGCGGGGAUAAAGUGGCCCACGUGUGGGCUUUUGCAGGUACCGCAUGAAUGAGGACCGGCUAAUUCCGUG